CCCUAUGGGGCGCAGCAGGCGGUCAGGUGUGUCAGGUGUGAAAUCUCGGGGCUUAACCCCGAAACUGCGCUUGAAACUAUCUGACUGGAGUUUUGGAGGGGUAAGCGGAAUUCUAGGUGUAGCGGUGAAAUGCGUAGAUAUCUAGAGGAACACCAACGGCGAAGGCAGCUUACUGGCCAAAAACUGACGCUCAUGCACGAAAGCGUGGGGAGCAAAAA
Molecule: ribosomal RNA, 218 nt
Filed under: uncultured prokaryote
Description: partial 16S ribosomal RNA
Rfam family: Bacterial small subunit ribosomal RNA
Source: RNAcentral